AACGAACGCUGGCGGCAUGCCUAACACAUGCAAGUCGAACGAGACCUUCGGGUCUAGUGGCGCACGGGUGCGUAACGCGUGGGAACCUGCCCUUAGGUUCGGAAUAACUCCCCGAAAGGGGUGCUAAUACCGGAUAAUGUCUUCGGACCAAAGAUUUAUCGCCUUUGGAUGGGCCCGCGUUGGAUUAGCUAGUUGGUAGGGUAAAAGCCUACCAAGGCGACGAUCCAUAGCUGGUAUGAGAGGAUGAUCAGCCACACUUGGACUGAGACACGGCCCAGACUCCUACGCGAGGCAGCAGUGGGUAAUAUAGGACAAUGGGCGAAAGCCUGAUCCAGCAAGGCCGCGUGAGUGAUGAAGGCCUGAGGGUUGUAAAGCUCUUGUACCCAGGAUGAUAAUGACAGUACCGGGAGAAUAAGCUCCGGCUAACUCCGUG
Molecule: ribosomal RNA, 433 nt
Filed under: uncultured bacterium
Lineage: Bacteria
Description: partial 16S ribosomal RNA
Rfam family: Bacterial small subunit ribosomal RNA
Source: RNAcentral